UUUCCAGGAAUAACUUGGCCUUAACCUUCUCUUGGUUUCUCUGGAUGGUUUGGUCAUAAACAGAUCAGCCUCACGAUGUCUUCUGUUUUUCUUUUCUUUCACCUAUGAAAAGAAACUGCUUGGAAACUCCCUGCUGAAACUGGAAGGUGAUGACCGUCUAGACAUGAACUGCACGCUGCCCUUCAGUGACCAGGAGAAGAGCGGGCACUGUGUCUUGUGGACGUGAAGAAAGUGAAACAGUCCCUGGCCCAGUCCCACCUGCCUGCCCAGCCCGACAUCUCACCCAACAUUUUUGAAGCUGUCAAGGGCUGCCACUUGUUUGGGGCAGGCAAGAUUGAGAACGGGCUCUGCAUCUGUGCAGCCAUGCCCAGCAAAGUCGUCAUUCUCCGCUACAACGAAAACCUCAGCAAAUACUGCAUCCGGAAAGAGAUAGAGACCUCAGAGCCCUGCAGCUGUAUCCACUUCACCAAUUACAGUAUCCUCAUUGGAACCAAUAAAUUCUACGAAAUCGACAUGAAGCAGUACACGCUCGA
Molecule: long non-coding RNA, 533 nt
Filed under: Homo sapiens (human)
Lineage: Eukaryota; Metazoa; Chordata; Mammalia; Primates; Hominidae
Description: non-protein coding lnc-RAB35-5:2
Source: RNAcentral